RNAcentral lists this long non-coding RNA (2055 nucleotides) under Brachypodium distachyon (stiff brome). RNAcentral's name for it is "long non-coding RNA (BDIS_LNC002426)". Lineage: Eukaryota; Viridiplantae; Streptophyta; Magnoliopsida; Poales; Poaceae. The record is from RNAcentral.
AGCGCUCCCCCGAGGCUUGACUGGCUUCCUUUUAUUUGGACGGGCGUUGUCAAAGAGGGAGGGAAAGCAGGGAGCUUAUUGGGGGCUCACUCGCGAUCUCGAGCUGGCGACCCCACGCUCCUCCCACCACCUCGCCUCCGCCAUCGCGGCCGCGGGUCUCCUAGCCGCCGCCGCCGCCCCCCACGCCGCCCAGCGCAGCUGCCGCACGCCCCCGGCGCGGGCGGCGCCGCCACCCUUGACUCUUUAUUUCUCUUCUCUUAUCCUCAAUCCCCAGCCCCGAACAGAUCUCUCUCGCACGAAACUCCUCUCUCGAUCCACAACCGCACGCGCUCCGCCCCGCCCCGUCCCCCGGCGGCAAGACCUGUGGGCCUGGCCCGAACCCUGAGAGCAACGAACCCCUAGCGGCACCGGCCGGGCCGCCGCCCAUCUCCUCCUUCCUCGUCCUUCGCGACUGCUCCUUCGCAGGUCACCACAGCAGAGCCUCCUUCUGUAAUUCGUGGUUACAACUGCUUGCGGGGUGCGGGGUCCGGAAUCACGGGGAGUCCAGUGCCAGAAGGCUGCCGUCUACGCCUGGCCUCCGCUGCUCCGGUCUUCCAUUCCACGUUCUGAAUUUGAGGUAAGUUCUUGAUCUAGAGGACUUAUUGGUUCGUGAUUUGGCUAGGGAUUUGGUUCUUAAUCUUAAUCUCAGGGGAAAUUUGUUCUUGUUCUUUCAGUUCUGCUCCUCCUCCUUUCUCCGUCGACAUUAUAUUGAUGCACUGCGGUCUACUCAUAGAGUAGCACUAUUAUAAGAUACAAAAAAAAAUGCUAUUCCGUAUUAAGAAUGCUCAUGAUAGUUUUCUAAUAAGGAUGUAGAAUGAAUCUGAUGUUGUUAGUUUCAGUGAUCUUUGGUGCUGGUAAUACGCAUGAUUGUGCCCUUAUUAAAUCUAUUGGUUCGAGUUUCUUAUCAAUCCAUUUCAUUCCUGAUAAUUGCAAGAUGACAUUCUUUUUCAUUUUCAGUUAUGCAGUUCUAUUUCUUGACGGGAGUUCUUUUUCAGUUUUAGUUAUUCUUCUUAAAUUUGUUACCUUCUGAUGUUGAACUAUAUAUGCUCUCCACUAUGUUCUUCAGCAUGCUGCUAGGCUGCUUAACAUUGCUAAGACAUGUGAACUUCUAAUGAUCCUUUGAAUAUGAGAUUCAUGUAUUCUGUUAGAGUUUACUGCAUGUUAGUUAGAGAUACAUGCAUACUAAUUAGAGAUACUGCAUGUAAGAGUUUCUACUGCAGAUUGUAUAUGACUGCUUUGUAUCUCAUAUUGCUCAAUGUGGAAUUGUGGAGUUUGAUUUGCCGAAAGAUGAGGAUAGGACCAUGAACAAGACUUGCAAGUGUACAAGUAAUCAAGAGAAGUUGAUACUUCUGGUUAUGAGAGUGAUCUUUUCAGGAAUAAGAAUUGUAUUUAUGUAGUAUUGUAUCAAUUGUAUCAAGUUUGUUACUUCUGCAGUACAUCCUGGCUCGUUAAUUCGACUUGUGGGCAUGCCUUUACCUGUAGAAAAAAAAUAUGAAUUUAGUUGUGCAUGGCUGAUGUAUCUGAAAGACAAUCUUCAUAUAAUCUGACAGCUGGCAACCUAUGCACGGGAUAAACGGGCUGACGUUGUUGAGCCCAUAUGUCUCAGCUUCGUCCGUACGGUAGAGGUCGGCCGCUUCCCCAAGGGCCCGGUUGAGUGAAAAUCUUUCUUGCUUAUACCUGGAUGCGGAGCAGAUCUUGGUUGGAUAUGUGUGUGGAUUUUAUUACUAGCAAAAUGCAUAUCCAUACGUUUGUAUUAUUCUGAUAUGCGUUGAGUUCAAGUUCAUACAUUUUAUCCGUAUAUGUGUGAGUUCAAGUUCAUGUAUUUUGUUUUGACUUCUUCCGGAUAGCGUAUUGUUAAAAAAUUCUGCGUUGCAUUCUUAAGUUGAAGUUCGUGUUUUUGAAUUCUUUUGGGACUCUGUGCUCUUAAUACAUCUUGUUUGUGGAAGAAUAUACAUCCAUAUGUGCAAAAUGUUGGCUCAUAUGGUUGCUUUGUGUUUUCGAUUUGAGGAUUCGGAG